UGGGGAAUAUUGGACAAUGGGCGCAAGCCUGAUCCAGCCAUGCCGCGUGAGUGAUGAAGGCCCUAGGGUUGUAAAGCUCUUUCACCGGUGAAGAUAAUGACGGUAACCGGAGAAGAAGCUCCGGCUAACUUCGUGCCAGCAGCCGCGGUAAUACGAAGGGGGCUAGCGUUGUUCGGAUUUACUGGGCGUAAAGCGCACGUAGGCGGACUUUUAAGUCAGGGGUGAAAUCCCGGGGCUCAACCCCGGAACUGCCUUUGAUACUGGAAGUCUUGAGUAUGGUAGAGGUGGGUGGAAUUCCGAGUGUAGAGGUGAAAUUCGUAGAUAUUCGGAGGAACACCAGUGGCGAAGGCGGCUCACUGGACCAUUACUGACGCUGGGGUGCGAAAGCGUGGGGAGCAAACAGG
Molecule: ribosomal RNA, 404 nt
Filed under: Actinomycetes bacterium
Lineage: Bacteria; Bacillati; Actinomycetota; Actinomycetes
Description: Actinobacteria bacterium partial 16S ribosomal RNA
Rfam family: Bacterial small subunit ribosomal RNA
Source: RNAcentral